Molecule: long non-coding RNA, 1388 nt
Organism: Drosophila sechellia
Lineage: Eukaryota; Metazoa; Arthropoda; Insecta; Diptera; Drosophilidae
Exons: 3
Source: RefSeq, a predicted model, not a curated record
AACUAAAAUAGAAUAAUACUUGUGCUACAUACAUACAUAAAAAAUGGCGAUGUUAAGUUGGGCGUUCCACAUAACCUCUCCCUGGAUAAAGCUAAAUAUUUAUUAAAGUGACGUUGGACGUGUGCACAUAUUGGGUCUAAGAUAAAGCCGGACUUCGUGCUAUUUCUAUUGACCGUGAGAAUUUAGAUACUAUUGUUGGUGUGUAAGGCUGAAACAGAAGAUAUCCAAGGGCCAGGAGGGAAAGAAGCUUCUCUCUAAAGUCGAUUCCAUCAACAUAACCUUACAAAAGCUAUAGCCCUAAGCUAAUUUGCAAUAAUCGUAUAUUGAACCUAUUAGCCAGGGGAAUCCAAUAAAGAGCAUACGACCCUGUGGUUGCUGCCAUCCCCUUCUACACCCACACUUCAACGGACUGAGAAGGGGGUGUGGUCAAUGGGCGGCAUCGAAGUCUCCAUGGAAUGGCACAACACGCGAACGGCGAGCAUGCAAGAGGCAACGAUACAAAACGCUAGCGCAGCGGUGACGAAAACGCUGAAACAACAACUACAUCUACAACUGCAAAAGCCGACAGCAAGUUGAAUGACAUAAACCAUCAACUGACCUUCAACUCUGAGACUGAACCUUAGAAAAAACGAACACAUAGCCUCAUGCAAAUGGGAAUGCGAGAGUGGCGCAUGCAACUUACAGCUUUACAGCUCGUUCGUUGUGGGAAAGAGAUGUCGGGUGAGAGGAAGAGGAAAUCGCCUAAAGCACUGAGCCGUAACGAAAAUUGUUGUUGCAACCAGACCCCCGCUCUCUCUCGCACUAAUACUUCCACAGCCAGUGCACACCACCCCCCAUCCAACACACCCAUAGCCCCUGUAAUGGGCGGCAGCAGAGGAAGUCGGCGGACAAUUGCGCAUGAUACGCUCCAGAUUCUAGAGGUGGGAGAGUGAAGAGCGAUGAGUCACGACGAACUGAUCGAAAGGUGAUCCCAUAAUGAUCCAUUGAUGGUUUUACGUAGGGGCGGAAAAUGAAACCUGAAAACGGGAGAAGAUGAGACUACCAAAGUACACCCAGUGCCGAUGACGUAAAUUGCCGAUGGAUGCCGAUGAACGGAGCAUGCUCUUGCACUUGGCAGACUGCAACAGCUCUCUGCGAAGAGGACUACAACUACUAUGGAAGGUAGCAGAGCAGAGCGGCCUAUUUCUCGAUGGUUGUUUAUAUUUGGCAGCAGUGGCUGCAGUUGUAUUCUCUCUGCCAAGCUUUUUUUAAUUUUUUUUUUGUGGGUUUUAUAUUUUGAUUUUUCUUUUUUCAGGGCGUUGUACAAUUGAACAGAUAUGUACAUGAUGUUACGAAGGUUGAGGACGGGUGCGAUAGUUACAAGUAAAAUGCACAAAAUGUUCUUAAAA